This is a long non-coding RNA of Etheostoma cragini (Arkansas darter), 84 nucleotides long. RefSeq lists it as uncharacterized. The record is from RefSeq and is a predicted model, not a curated record. The transcript is spliced from 4 exons. NCBI's taxonomy places the organism in Eukaryota, Metazoa, Chordata, Actinopteri, Perciformes, Percidae.
CUACUCGCUAUGGCGUAAAUUCACACGCAAUCGCAAGAUAAUGUAAGUCAACGGAGGCCAAACGGCGUUGAUAGACAGAAAAAG